CCAGCACACGUCUUAAGGAAACCAUCACUUUAACAAGACCACAGCAAGAGACAGGCUACAAAAUGACAGGUCUCCAAUGGAAUGCAGAGGGGUUCUGAUGGAGAGAUAUAGAGAUAUAACCAUCCUCCUUGGAGCCAUUCAAGCAAGGGAAACAAGGCCAAUGUCUUCAAUUUUAUUUUGAAGUGAUGUUUUUAAAAGACCACUGUGUGCUACAGCAGGAAGCAAAGUCAGUACUGAAGAAAAACAACUGAAAUGUCACAGGAUCCAGUUGCAAUCUAUCACCUGAAACUGAAGGCUGUUGGGCAGUUUGGUAUUUAAAAGGAAAGCAGAAUCUGUUAAUUUCUGCAAAAGAUGGACCAUUGAAAAGUGCAGUGGGAGGGUGGCGUAGAGAAAAGUCUAACGUGCCACCCAGUGCUCUAUGUGAUCUCCCCACCCUUCACAGUGUUGAAUUCCCCAAGUGCCCUCUGGGUCCAGGUUCUUCCACAGGAGUGUGGCGAGUGAAAUAUUACUCAUAGAAGAGAAGACAUGGAUAGAAAGAGAGAGGAAAGCCGCAUGUCCCUAGCAAGAAAGAAGAAAUGAGAGACCACCUGAAAACAAGCCGCGAACCUGCCAGAGAGGGUGAGAACGAAGAUCCUCCCCAAGAAGACAGAGACCAGAGAAUGAGUAAAGGAUGAAUAGAGGAUGAAUAAAGAGUCCCUUAAGAGGGUGAAAUCACCUGGCCAAGACAAGACCCAGACAGACUUCUAACAGUGAGGUGAUGAAGCCCAGCUCUCACACUCUUCACUGCUUGCUUGUACUGAAAGCUGCCUGUUCUUUGAGCAUGCCAGAUGGAUCAACAGCACCCUGGGCAGACUAAUCUGGCCGUCUGAUCUUUAGGAAAUGUGGUGAGAGAGACUCAGUUAAUGGUGGGGGACAUUCAAUUGUCUUUUAAAAUGCUCUGCGGCAGAUCAAUCUGUAAAUAAAUUAAUAAAAUUCAAAGAUUACUAAAAUAAUGGCUGUCUCAAAGAGACUGUGGUAGCCCCCUGCAGGGUAUUUUAAAUACUACUCUCUCUUGCUUUCUGUGGCAAUGGGUGUGGGUUUACUGUGUCACAGGGGAGUAUUGUGAGGCUGUGUAAUAACACAACAGUGGUCAUGCUGAUCUAACAUUAAGCUGGAUUUCACCUGUUCCAAGGUACUUUAAAAUCAUUUAUAUACAGUAUAUUGUGUCUUCGCCUUGUGACACAACAUGGUAUUUUUAAUAAUUAUGUUUUAAUAUACAACAAAUGAAAGUGUGAUUAAUUAAAACAUCGAGGAACAUGCCUAGCAGGAAAGGACCCAGUAAUGUUUCUAGGAUGCGUUACUGUGAAACACAGACAAAACGGAUUUACUGUAUGACAGCUAUUAAAGACAGCUAUUUACAUGAGGCACAACAUUCACGUGUAAAUCUGUAAUUUAAUUAUGGAAUUGUCUCAGAGCAACACAGGCAAUGUGUUAUCAGUAGUGCUUUGAACAACGACAGAGAUUGUUAAAACCUUGUUCCAGCUCAUAAUCAGCAGCAACAGCUGUGGCAGAGGAUCACAGGAAGAAUAUUAUGACAUAAUCUCGCUCCCAGGGUGCUGCCUGCAGAGAACUCAGAACAAUAAAAGUUUCCACUGUCCAAGACAGCACAAGGGCCUGGAUAAGCAUGUGCCUAUUUCCUGAUCUCCGAGUCUUGGGUGCAGUGUGUCACCCCAGCUCACUGAGACUCAUGUCUGGUGAGCAAGUCGCCCCUGGCAUUGCUACAGUAUACCACACAUCAACUCCUCUCAGAAGAAAGCCAUAGUUACACAAGUACUGUAGCGUCGAAUGGAUGAGCACGCAGGAUGGGCACAAAGUGAUGUGACAGGACAUGAUCAAUGUACUGUAGCACUCUGAAGUCACUACCAGUAGAGUUCUGCAGCACACAGACACUCCUACCAAGACAUGCACCCUUGGAUCUCCCCCUCGAUCUUGGAGAGGUGUCAUGACCCAUGGUCUCCCAGAUUGUGACCUGUCAUUGACGGACAACAUCUUGCCAAGACAGAGACUCCAGUCUGUGGACAACCUAGAUGACAAGCAGUGGUGUUCUGACUUAGCCCAGCUUUCAGCUUACCAAUGGCACAAAUGCAUUGCUCUCCUGAUAAGCCGGGGAUAUUGGUUUGUUUCUGCAUUCUUCUUUCUUUUCACCAGGCUUGACAUUAAGAAGGUUAGGUCUAAUUCCCUGAAUCCAAUAAACUCUCUCUAAUGAUGUGAUCUAGUGCUAUUCCUUGACUGAAUCAAUAUCCAAAAUCCAUAUAUUUUAUUCUUUUAAAAACAUGGAUAAACAUAGAUAAGUUUCUUUCGAUGGCCAGUAUACAUUUAAAGACUUUGGCUUAAUUAAUUAGGCACUUAAAUAGAAUCAGAGAGGUGGUUAUAUAACCUUAUAUAACUUUUGGCACUGUUGAUUAACAGUUUGAUUAUGACUUACAGUACUCAUAUACUACUAAAUAUACAGUAGUAUAUAUAGUAUAUAGCACAUAGCACUAAAAAUAUUGAUACUUGAAAUAUGGUUAUUGAUUGAGCUCAUUUAGCACAAAUCUUUCCUGGGAAUAUUAUGGAAAAAAAAAUAUUCAAUUUUUUCCACAAGUCUUCUGAGUCUACAGUAUACUAAAUAAAAGGCAAGCAGCUUUUUUUGUUGACAGCCACUCAAGGAAAAUGAUGCACUGGGGUAUUAAAAAUAAAACAGAUGCUAUUGACUCCAAUA
Non-coding RNA from Lepisosteus oculatus (spotted gar), 2740 nucleotides. Lineage: Eukaryota; Metazoa; Chordata; Actinopteri; Semionotiformes; Lepisosteidae. The record is from RefSeq and is a predicted model, not a curated record.